AAUGAGCGGUGCCAUGUCCGCGCCAGGAUCUGAACCAGCGAAACCAGGGGCUGCUGCAGCGGAGCAGGCAAACUUACGCACUCGACGGGGAGGCCCCUCCUACAGUCUUUCACAUUUUCGUCCUUACAUCUCUGCCUAACCCUGGAACAGCCUGAUUUGACCGUCCUCCUCCCCCACACGCCUGGGCCAAUGCAACAGAGACCUCCUUGCAGCGUCUUGGUCCCUAAAGACCACGGCAGAAACUGAAGGUAAAUCUGGGGAGAAUCAGUGAGUUUUAAGCAAGCUGCCAUACUGUUUUCAAGCUUACUUUCUAAUUUUCUUUUAAACUCUACUCAUCUUAUAUCCUCAUAAAAUCAUUCCUUGGCAACUCACUUGGCAAUUUACUCCUUGUCAAUUCAGUGAAAAACAGAAGACAGGUGAAAACGACUAGGGAAGUGGUAUUGGAUACAUUGCAAUAUUCAUUUUGUUUCAGAGGCAAACCCUCUAUAAGGCAACUGUUGGAGACACCGUGAUUUUCACCAUGUUCAAACUCCACCAGGAUUCUCAUUGAGCCUCUCGUAGUGGUUUCUAAUCUUUUAAUAAAUGAGCAAUGUUGUUAUUAAUAGCUAUAUUACCAUUCCCCAAACCCAUUCCUACUCCCAACCCUGAAAGUAACUUAGCACAUUGUUAUUUUCUCCAAGAAUUUGCUUGCAAUCUAGUCUUUACAUACUGUCUCAAAAUAAUUUGUUUCCCUUCCUCUAAGAAUUUUUCAGUUGAUGAAAACUUGUACUCUUUGGCAUCACAAACUGCCUUGCUCAAGCCCAGACUGCGCCUGGACCACCCAGGGAAUUAAUCACAGCGUGGUGUGUGACAAGACACACUCUCCACAGACUGCUCAGAAGUUGCAUUUCUUCAUGAAGAUAAAGUACUAAAGGCUCCACAUCAUUUGCCAUCUGUAGAAGUAAGGCCUUCCUUGUCAUUUCUAGCAUUUUAAUCCUGUGAGUCUGGAUUUCAUUUCUUUCCAGUUUCACAGGAAACUAGAAUGACUGCAUUAAUCCCAAUCCAUUGAAAGCACAGUUUCUAGUUUUCCUCCUUCCCACACAUAUCAGAAGAGGUCAUCUGAAUGAGAUGUAGGCCAAUACAGACCUGGAGCCCUCUACUCGCAGAAUUGCCAUUUAGUCUAGCCCAAAAACUUUUUCUGAACCAUUUGUGCUAAGAGAUCCAGAAGGAGAACUUGUUUUUAAAGUAAACUUAAAGUAAUAAUUGAUGUAAACUUCUAUUGCAUAUAAAUACGCUUUGAGGGCUAUGAGCUGAUCUAGAUCAUGUUUGAAUCAUUAUAAUAAUGAUUUGUGGCAAUAACUCUAAUACACUGUGAUGUUAAUUCAGUUUGUUUACGUCUUGCUGAAGGUGUUGAGAGGAGGUAGCUAAUAAAGAUAUACCACCAAAGA
Non-coding RNA from Equus caballus (horse), 1427 nucleotides. The record is from RefSeq and is a predicted model, not a curated record. Lineage: Eukaryota; Metazoa; Chordata; Mammalia; Perissodactyla; Equidae.